UGUCGUUGAACAUCCACUCGAUCCACUCAAAUUUCUCGCUCGCGUCUCUCAUGACGGCGAGCAUGUCACGGUACUGUUUAUGGGCCAGGAGCUGGCAUGCGUAAAAGUAAAGAGGUGUGCGCCGUUGGAGCCGGCCUGUCGCUAGCAACUCUUCGACACAAUUCGCGCCAGCGCUUUCAUUUGAAGCCAUCAUCGAAUGAAUCUUCCCCGCCACUUUCUCCGCCGCACUGGUGGCACGGUCUACUGAGAAGGACAGUUCACGAGCAGACAUCUUUUUUU
Molecule: long non-coding RNA, 279 nt
Filed under: Olea europaea (common olive)
Lineage: Eukaryota; Viridiplantae; Streptophyta; Magnoliopsida; Lamiales; Oleaceae
Description: long non-coding RNA (OEUR_LNC011450)
Source: RNAcentral